AGAGUUUUCCUUUUCUUUUAAAAAGAACCCUAAUUAGGCGAUUUAAAUGAGGUUCCCACAAGGCUUUGUAGUCGCAAAACACAGAGGUGACUCUUUUAACUCAGAGGCACUUUCCUCUGCCUUGCGUUUUAAUUUUAGAGCAUUGAUGAAUUGAUCGAGAAGACGGUCCCUGCCAACAUCCGUUUGAAAAGACCCUUGAAAAUGGAAGACCCUGUUUGUGAAAAUGAAAUCCUUGCAACUCUGCAUGCCAUUUCAAGCAAAAACCAGAUCUGGAGAUCGUAUAUUGGCAUGGGCUAUUAUAACUGCUCAGUGCCACAGACGAUUUUGCGGAACUUACUGGAGAACUCAGGAUGGAUCACCCAGUAUACUCCAUACCAGCCUGAGGUGUCUCAGGGGAGGCUGGAGAGUUUACUCAACUACCAGACCAUGGUGUGUGACAUCACAGGCCUGGACAUGGCCAAUGCAUCCCUGCUGGAUGAGGGGACUGCAGCUGCAGAGGCACUGCAGCUGUGCUACAGACACAACAAGAGGAGGAAAUUUUUUGUUGACCCCCGUUGCCACCCACAGACAAUAGCUGUUGUCCAGACUCGAGCCAAAUAUACUGGAGUCCUCACUGAGCUGAAGUUACCCUGUGAAAUGGACUUCAGUGGAAAAGAUGUCAGCGGAGUGUUGUUCCAGUACCCAGACACGGAGGGGAAGGUGGAAGACUUUACGGAACUCGUGGAGAGAGCUCAUCAGAGUGGGAGCCUGGCCUGCUGUGCUACUGACCUUUUAGCUUUGUGCAUCUUGAGGCCACCUGGAGAAUUUGGGGUAGACAUCGCCCUGGGCAGCUCCCAGAGAUUUGGAGUGCCACUGGGCUAUGGGGGACCCCACGCAGCAUUUUUUGCUGUCCGAGAAAGCUUGGUGAGAAUGAUGCCUGGAAGAAUGGUGGGGGUAACAAGAGACGCCACUGGGAAAGAAGUGUAUCGUCUUACUCUUCAAACCAGGGAGCAACACAUUCGGAGAGACAAGGCUACCAGCAACAUCUGUACAGCUCAGGCCCUCUUGGCGAAUAUGGCUGCCAUGUUUGCAAUCUACCAUGGUUCCCAUGGGCUGGAGCAUAUUGCUAGGAGGGUACAUAAUGCCACUUUGAUUUUGUCAGAAGGUCUCAAGCGAGCAGGGCAUCAACUCCAGCAUGACCUGUUCUUUGAUACCUUGAAGAUUCAGUGUGGCUGCUCAGUGAAGGAGGUCUUGGGCAGGGCCGCUCAGCGGCAGAUCAAUUUUCGGCUUUUUGAGGAUGGCACACUUGGUAUUUCUCUUGAUGAAACAGUCAAUGAAAAAGAUCUGGAUGAUUUGUUGUGGAUCUUUGGUUGUGAGUCAUCUGCAGAACUGGUUGCUGAAAGCAUGGGAGAGGAGUGCAGAGGUAUUCCAGGGUCUGUGUUCAAGAGGACCAGCCCGUUCCUCACCCAUCAAGUGUUCAACAGCUACCACUCUGAAACAAACAUUGUCCGGUACAUGAAGAAACUGGAAAAUAAAGACAUUUCCCUUGUUCACAGCAUGAUUCCACUGGGAUCCUGCACCAUGAAACUGAACAGUUCGUCUGAACUCGCACCUAUCACAUGGAAAGAAUUUGCAAACAUCCACCCCUUUGUGCCUCUGGAUCAAGCUCAAGGAUAUCAGCAGCUUUUCCGAGAGCUUGAGAAGGAUUUGUGUGAACUCACAGGUUAUGACCAGGUCUGUUUCCAGCCAAACAGCGGAGCCCAGGGAGAAUAUGCUGGACUGGCCACUAUCCGAGCCUACUUAAACCAGAAAGGAGAGGGGCACAGAACGGUUUGCCUCAUUCCGAAAUCAGCACAUGGGACCAACCCAGCAAGUGCCCACAUGGCAGGCAUGAAGAUUCAGCCUGUGGAGGUGGAUAAAUAUGGGAAUAUCGAUGCAGUUCACCUCAAGGCCAUGGUACUUGUCUUCUCCUUAGCAGAUGGGAGGGGCCGGGAUGGGGAGUGCUGGUGGGGAUCAGGGACUUGAUGGAUUAUGUAAAUGUCUUCUCUUGCAUUCUAAUGAAAAGUCUGCAGUUCUUCCUUUGACCAGAGUCUCCUCUACCCCUCCCAUCACCAACAGGGAGAAAUCCCCGUUUUCUAAUUCCAGCUUGUGUAAAAAACUGAAUGAAUUAUUCAUGGUGGUAGUAAGAGUACUCCUUGCAGAACUGCCUGCCUCUUUCUGCCCAAUCUUCCCUCUCCUUCUCGCCUUCCCCACUUAAUAAUCAAAAUGGCAGUCACACUUACACAUCUUCGUGUCAGCAAUUGUAACACAAAUGUCAGCUUUGCAAAUAUCCAUGACUGUGCCAGCCCCAUCAUGCUGAAUUCCUGGCAUCAUGCAGCUUGGUUUCCACCAACCCCCACUCUCAACCUCCCAACCUCCAGGAAGAAGUUGCUUAGCAACCGUAUCUGCUUCCCACCAGCGGACUGGCAGCUGCAUCUUAAGCGGGAAGGAAACCAGUGGAAUAGCAAUGUGAUUUUGAUGGUGGUGUUAUUAGGCAUGGAGACUGCGAACGCUGUGCAGUUGCCUUCUAAAGGAAGCUGAAAAUCCACAAUGCUGCACCUCUCUUCGAUCCACCCCUACCCUUCCAUUGCUCCACAAAGCUUUUUUCCAACAAGUGUUCCAGGCCAGUAGUUGAAAUUAUUAAGUCCCUCCAUUAUAGUAAUAUAGGACAUGACUUCCCUGGCCACCCCCAUGUUCUCAAACAUGCCUGCUCUGAUAUGCUGGCCAGGAAAACAAACAGGGACGUGACUUUUAUAUAUGCUUGCCUUCUGUAAAAGGAAAGAAUAAAGAAGACUUUUAUUUACAGAAA
Molecule: small RNA, 2827 nt
Filed under: Pan troglodytes (chimpanzee)
Lineage: Eukaryota; Metazoa; Chordata; Mammalia; Primates; Hominidae
Description: retained intron
Source: RNAcentral